UUUGGACCAAGGUUCGAGCGGGGGAAGGUAGCUUGCUACUGGACCUAGCGGCGGACGGGUGAGUAAUGCUUAGGAAUCUGCCUAUUAGUGGGGGACAACAUUCCGAAAGGAAUGCUAAUACCGCAACGUCCUACGGGAGAAAGCAGGGGACCUUCGGGCCUUGCGCUAAUAGAUGAGCCUAAGUCGGAUUAGCUAGUUGGUGGGGUAAAGGCCUACCAAGGCGACGAUCUGUAGCGGGUCUGAGAGGAUGAUCCGCCACACUGGGACUGAGACACGGCCCAGACUCCUACGGGAGGCAGCAGUGGGGAAUAUUGGACAAUGGGGGGAACCCUGAUCCAGCCAUGCCGCGUGUGUGAAGAAGGCCUUAUGGUUGUAAAGCACUUUAAGCGAGGAGGAGGCUACUAGUAUUAAUACUACUGGAUAGUGGACGUUACUCGCAGAAUAAGCACCGGCUAACUCUGUGCCAGCAGCCGCGGUAAUACAGAGGGUGCGAGCGUUUAAUCGGAUUUACUGGGCGUAAAGCGUGCGUAGGCGGCCAUUUAAGUCAAAUGUGAAAUCCCCGAGCUUAACUUGGGAAUUGCAUUCGAUACUGGAUGGCUAGAGUAUGGGAGAGGAUGGUAGAAUUCCAGGUGUAGCGGUGAAAUGCGUAGAGAUCUGGAGGAAGAAAGAUGGCGAAGGUUUCAGACCAUCGUGCGCCCAAUACUGACGCUGAGGCUUUAACCCCAAAACAUCGGGAUACGCACAACAGGACCCUAGAUACCCCGGGAGUUCCAUCCCCUAAACGAUAUCUACUAGCAUCGCUGCGGCCCCUGAGGAAAUUCUACCGGCGCAGCUAACGCGACACACGUAGACCGCCGUCGCGGGAGGUACGGUCCCCGCAAUAAGACUGGAAGUAUACUCAAUAUGAAUUGACAGGAGGCCCGCCACCAAGCCACGUGGAGCAUACGCCUCUAAUAUAUCGAAAGCAACGCGUACAGAACCUUACCUGGCCUUGACAUACUAGAAACUUUCCAGAGAUGGAUUGGUGCCUUCGGGAAUCUAGAUACAGGUGCUGCAUGGCUGUCGUCAGCUCGUGUCGUGAGAUGUUGGGUUAAGUCCCGCAACGAGCGCAACCCUUUUCCUUACUUGCCAGCAUUUCGGAUGGGAACUUUAAGGAUACUGCCAGUGACAAACUGGAGGAAGGCGGGGACGACGUCAAGUCAUCAUGGCCCUUACGGCCAGGGCUACACACGUGCUACAAUGGUCGGUACAAAGGGUUGCUACCUAGCGAUAGGAUGCUAAUCUCAAAAAGCCGAUCGUAGUCCGGAUUGGAGUCUGCAACUCGACUCCAUGAAGUCGGAAUCGCUGUAAUCGCGGAUCAGAAUGCCGCGGUGAAUACGUUCCCGGGCCUUGUACACACCGCCCGUCACACCAUGGGAGUUUGUUGCACCAGAAGUAGGUAGUCUAACCGCAAGGAGGACGCUCAUUCUUAUAUGUUGGCCCCCCACCCG
This 1490-nucleotide ribosomal RNA is filed under the name Acinetobacter beijerinckii. RNAcentral's name for it is "bacterial SSU rRNA". It matches the Rfam family "Bacterial small subunit ribosomal RNA". Lineage: Bacteria; Pseudomonadati; Pseudomonadota; Gammaproteobacteria; Moraxellales; Moraxellaceae. The record is from RNAcentral.